RNAcentral lists this ribosomal RNA (381 nucleotides) under Triticum aestivum (bread wheat). RNAcentral describes it as "partial small subunit ribosomal RNA". The record is from RNAcentral. Lineage: Eukaryota; Viridiplantae; Streptophyta; Magnoliopsida; Poales; Poaceae.
AUGGUAACUCGUGCUAAAUGUGGCCUCUUCCAGCCCGUUGACCGUCUUAAUCUCUCCGCGACUCACUCCACUCCCUCUCCUAUUCCGAAAACAUACCGGGGUGCACUCCAUGACCCGCACUGGCGUCGUGCUAUGACCGAGGAAUUUGAUGCUCUUGUCACUAACGGGACGUGGUCUCUUGUGCCACGUCCCCCUCGUGCUCAUGUUGUUUUAGGGAAGUGGAUCUUCAAACAUAAAUUCCACUCGGACGGCAGCCUUGCCCGGUACAAGGCCCGAUGGGUGGUACGAGGUUAUUCUCAACAGGGCAUUGAUUUUGAUGAGACAUUCAGCCCCGUUGUUAAGCCUGCGACGAUCCGCAUCGUUCUCAGCCUUGCGGUCUCU